Dreissena polymorpha is the source of this 865-nucleotide long non-coding RNA. RefSeq lists it as uncharacterized. The transcript has 2 exons. The record is from RefSeq and is a predicted model, not a curated record. Lineage: Eukaryota; Metazoa; Mollusca; Bivalvia; Myida; Dreissenidae.
GAGACGCCACAGAACGUGGAUCCAAACUGUUUGUAAAGGCCUUCAAAAAUUCGGUUCCAGCGCUGAAAGACUUAAUAUCAGACAAGAUAGUAAUUGUUCAUUUGCCAUAAAUGCACCAUGUUGUCUACACUGCUGAUAGUGAGUGUGAUUGCCAUUCGCGUGCGCUCGUCAUAUGAAGGCAAGUAACAAGUAACGGACAAACUAGAAGCAGAACAGCUUGCGAGGAAACAAUUGGAGACUCUGCUUGUACAGAAGGAGAAAGUCAUCAAACAGUCAAAAGACAACCUGAGAAAGAGGCAACGGAAGUAGCAUUUUUUGCUGAGGUCUUUCUGAAUAUUUUACAUCAAGGCUUGGGGCAUUUGACCAUGUGGUCACCAACAUCGACUCAACAAACUACGCUGCUGGGUACAGCAAUGUGACCGGUGUGUUUACAGCUCCAAUCGACGGGCUAUAUUCAUUUCCUACAACAGUAACGACACAUGCGGAUCAUGCGUCCCAUUAUGAACUGUACGUUGACAACAAGCUCCUAGGUAGAAUAAUUAUGGGUAGACGGGUCAAAUGGCAACCAAUAUGCCUCUGCCUCUGCAAAUGUUGUCGUAUCCUUAACAAGAGGACAAGCUGUAUCGGUCAGACACGGAAAUAUCGGCGAUCACGGAAUUUAGGGUCAAUUUCAAUCCUUAUUUUCGGGAUUCUUAUUACAGCAGCAUUAUCCAUCGGCUCAAAUUGUAGGUUGAACGUGGUUGAAAGCUGUUAAAUAAAUUGCCUAAACUAAUGAGCAGUAUGUGUUAAAAUGUGUGUGACGUUAACAUGGUAUAUUUUACAUGUAUAUGUAAACACUUUCCAAAAUUAUAAAAAGCACAAAGAA